GUCUACGGCCAUACCACCCUGAAUGUACCUGAUCUCGUCUGAUCUUGGAAGCUAAGCAGGGUCGGGCCUGGUUAGUACUUGGAUGGGAGAAAUGAGGAGGUGUUGAUC
RNAcentral lists this ribosomal RNA (108 nucleotides) under Panthera tigris altaica (Amur tiger). The record is from RNAcentral. Lineage: Eukaryota; Metazoa; Chordata; Mammalia; Carnivora; Felidae.